This 497-nucleotide ribosomal RNA is filed under the name Entomoplasma endosymbiont of Formica sanguinea. RNAcentral describes it as "bacterial SSU rRNA". It matches the Rfam family "Bacterial small subunit ribosomal RNA", at positions 8 to 499 of the family's 1533-position model. Lineage: Bacteria; Bacillati; Mycoplasmatota; Mollicutes; Entomoplasmatales; Entomoplasmataceae. The record is from RNAcentral.
AGAGUUUGAUCAUGGCUCAGGAUAAACGCUGGCGGCAUGCCUAAUACAUGCAAGUCGAACGGGGGUGCUUGCACCCCAGUGGCGAACGGGUGAGUAACACGUAUUCAAUCUACCUUAAAGUGGGGGAUAACCUUUGGAAACGAAGGAUAAUACCGCAUAAUAACUUCAUUAUGGCAUCAGAAGAAGUUUAAAGAUCCGUUUGGAUCGCUUUAAAAUGAGAAUGCGGCGUAUUAGCUAGUAGGUGAGAUAAUAGCCCACCUAGGCAAUGAUACGUAGCCGAACUGAGAGGUUGAUCGGCCACAUUGGGACUGAGAUACGGCCCAGACUCCUACGGGAGGCAGCAGUAGGGAAUUUUUCACAAUGGACGAAAGUCUGAUGAAGCAAUGCCGCGUGAGUGAUGACGGUCUUCGGAUUGUAAAGCUCUGUUGUAAGGGAAGAAAAUUUGGAAGAGGAAAUGCUUUCGAACUUGACGGUACCUUACCAGAAAGCCACGGCUA